This 301-nucleotide ribosomal RNA is filed under the name uncultured bacterium. Its description in RNAcentral is "partial 16S ribosomal RNA". It matches the Rfam family "Bacterial small subunit ribosomal RNA", at positions 509 to 808 of the family's 1533-position model. The record is from RNAcentral.
CAGUCGCCGCGUAAUACGUAGGGUGCAAGCGUUAAUCGGAAUUACUGGGCGUAAAGCGUGCGCAGGCGGUUAUAUAAGACAGAUGUGAAAUCCCCGGGCUCAACCUGGGAACUGCAUUUGUGACUGUAUAGCUAGAGUACGGCAGAGGGGGAUGGAAUUCCGCGUGUAGCAGUGAAAUGCGUAGAUAUGCGGAGGAACACCGAUGGCGAAGGCAAUCCCCUGGGCCUGUACUGACGCUCAUGCACGAAAGCGUGGGGAGCAAACAGGAUUAGAUACCCGAGUAGUCCCUGUCUCUUAUACA